RNAcentral lists this long non-coding RNA (216 nucleotides) under Lathyrus oleraceus (garden pea). Its description in RNAcentral is "Pisum sativum (pea) long non-coding RNA (PSAT_LNC017928)". The record is from RNAcentral. Lineage: Eukaryota; Viridiplantae; Streptophyta; Magnoliopsida; Fabales; Fabaceae.
AAAGAGGGUCAACCAGCGCAUGCCUCAAAUGCAAGAUCCUGAUGAUGGGAAUUUAUCAUCAAAACAAUCCAGAUCUAGCUAGAAGAUCGAAGAAGAUCUAGCCAGAAGAUCAAAGUCAGGUCUAGCCCGAAGACCGGAAAUAGAUUCAGCCAGAGAAUCAAAGAGAAUCAAAGAGAAUCGAAACAAGAAGAUCUAGCUAGAAGAUCAAAAUCGUAU